RNAcentral lists this transfer RNA (90 nucleotides) under Chloroflexota bacterium. RNAcentral describes it as "Chloroflexi bacterium (marine metagenome) tRNA-Ser". It matches the Rfam family "tRNA". Rfam says of the family: Transfer RNA (tRNA) molecules are approximately 80 nucleotides in length. Their secondary structure includes four short double-helical elements and three loops (D, anti-codon, and T loops). Further hydrogen bonds mediate the characteristic L-shaped molecular structure. tRNAs have two regions of fundamental functional importance: the anti-codon, which is responsible for specific mRNA codon recognition, and the 3' end, to which the tRNAs corresponding amino acid is attached (by aminoacyl-tRNA synthetases). tRNAs cope with the degeneracy of the genetic code in two manners: having more than one tRNA (with a specific anti-codon) for a particular amino acid; and 'wobble' base-pairing, i.e. permitting non-standard base-pairing at the 3rd anti-codon position. The record is from RNAcentral. Lineage: Bacteria; Bacillati; Chloroflexota.
GGAGAGGUGCCAGAGCGGUUUAAUGGGCACGCCUGGAAAGCGUGUGUGGGUGCAAAUCCACCGCAGGUUCGAAUCCUGUCCUCUCCGCCA